UACGGAGGGUGCGAGCGUUGUCCGGAAUCACUGGGCGUAAAGGGCGCGUAGGCGGCUUGGUAAGUAGGGGGUGAAAUCCUGCGGCUUAACCGCAGGGCUGCCUUCUAAACUGCCAGGCUCGAGCACAGUAGAGGCAGGUGGAAUUCCCGGUGUAGCGGUGGAAUGCGUAGAGAUCGGGAAGAACAUCGGUGGCGAAGGCGGCCUGCUGGACCAUAACUGACACUCAGGGACGAAAGCUAGGGGAGCGAAUGGG
RNAcentral lists this ribosomal RNA (253 nucleotides) under uncultured bacterium. RNAcentral's name for it is "partial 16S ribosomal RNA". It matches the Rfam family "Bacterial small subunit ribosomal RNA", at positions 524 to 776 of the family's 1533-position model. The record is from RNAcentral.